This is a long non-coding RNA of Zingiber officinale, 309 nucleotides long. RefSeq lists it as uncharacterized. The record is from RefSeq and is a predicted model, not a curated record. NCBI's taxonomy places the organism in Eukaryota, Viridiplantae, Streptophyta, Magnoliopsida, Zingiberales, Zingiberaceae. The transcript has 4 exons.
GAACCAAGGGCAUCGGCGUUGGAUCAGGCCAGCAUCGAUUGUUUGGAGGAGGUGGUUCUUUCUGGGAAGCAGAGACUGGUAUUUUGGUCCCGGCCACCACAGCUCUGUUGGAUGAUCGUCUCCGGUGAUUGAAGGGUGCAGAGAGGAUGCGAUGUGCUUAUUUUCGAUACUGGAUUGGGAAGUGCAGAGAAUCAAGCAAGGGUCAAGGAGUUGCUUCAUGUGGAGGAAUCAAAACUAGAGGAGGAUGAGGGAAAUACCACUCCAGCAGUGAGAUGGGUUCGAGAUGAUAAAUAUGAUUGCAUCCAAUUA